RNAcentral lists this long non-coding RNA (640 nucleotides) under Rattus norvegicus (Norway rat). RNAcentral describes it as "long non-coding RNA NONRATT007492". Lineage: Eukaryota; Metazoa; Chordata; Mammalia; Rodentia; Muridae. The record is from RNAcentral.
UCAAGGAGUAGGGAUCGGAAAAAAUCUCGAUCCAGAAGCAGAGACAGGAAGAAGUCAAGAUCCAGAAGCAGGGAUAGAAAACGGAGGAUCAGAACACGUUCCCGGUCAAGAUCCAGACACAGGCAUAGGACUAGAAGCAGGAGCAGAUCACGGAGUCGAAGUCGAGAUAGAAAGAAGAGAAUCGAAAAACCAAGAAGAUUUAGCAGAAGCCUAAGCCGGACACCUAGUCCGCCUCCCUUCAGAGGCAGAAACACAGCAAUGGAUGCCCAAGAAGCACUAGCUAGGAGGUAUGUAUAUUUUCCCAUAUAAUUUAUAUUUUUUCCUUUUCAACUUUUAAGUAGCUGGUCAACUGUAUAGACAAGCUUUUAACUCAGAAUAAUCUUCCCUCCCUCAAUCCUAACCGUAAUGCUUGUGUGCAUUUGUGUACAGAUCUGUCUGAGGAGAUAUUUAGUUGGCGAUUUCAUUGGUUUUUAAUUUGCACGUUCAGGAAGACUGAGAAGCUUUUGCCUUUGGAAUUAACUGAUUUUUUUUCUCACACAUUUAGACUUUUAAUGUCUUUGGUUUGCAUUUGAGGACUUUGAGUUAUAAAUAUGCCUCAAGGACCUCUUAGUUGUCUUUUCCCUUUUUUUCUUAAGACAAA